GGCUCAGGAUGAACGCUAGCUACAGGCUUAACACAUGCAAGUCGCGGGGUAACAUCUGGUAGAGCUUGCUCUUCCAGGAUGACGACCGGCGCACGGGUGAGUAACGCGUAUCCAACCUGACCCACCACUUGGGGAUAACCUUGCGAAAGUAAGACUAAUGCCCAAUGACAUUUAUAGCAGGCAUCUAACGAGAACGAAAUGUGAAGGGAGAAGGAUGGGGAUGCGUCUGAUUAGCUUGUUGGCGGGGUAACGGCCCACCAAGGCGACGAUCAGUAGGGGUUCUGAGAGGAAGGUCCCCCACAUUGGAACUGAGACACGGUCCAAACUCCUACGGGAGGCAGCAGUGAGGAAUAUUGGUCAAUGGGCGAGAGCCUGAACCAGCCAAGUAGCGUGCAGGAUGACGGCCCUAUGGGUUGUAAACUGCUUUUAUAAGGGAAUAAAGUGAGCCUCGUGAGGCUUUUUGCAUGUACCUUAUGAAUAAGGACCGGCUAAUUCCGUG
This 499-nucleotide ribosomal RNA is filed under the name uncultured bacterium. RNAcentral's name for it is "bacterial SSU rRNA". It matches the Rfam family "Bacterial small subunit ribosomal RNA", at positions 21 to 507 of the family's 1533-position model. The record is from RNAcentral.